Molecule: long non-coding RNA, 270 nt
Filed under: Mytilus galloprovincialis (Mediterranean mussel)
Lineage: Eukaryota; Metazoa; Mollusca; Bivalvia; Mytilida; Mytilidae
Source: RNAcentral
AUUUGGUCUGAUACAAUUAAAUGGCAUCUUAUAGGAGUUAGUGCCCCUGAAAUGUCUUAAUAUAAGGUUAUUUGAUUAUAACUUCAACUAAGUUCAUUAUAAAGUCAUAUGACCUUGUACAAAAGGUUAGGUGACACAUGACCUUGAAAAAUGACAACCGGAAGUGACCUUGAGAAAACAGAAAGUAGCUAUGUUUGCACUUUUUUCAUAUCAAAGUACUCAGAAUCCAUAUAUUUUGUAACUUAAAUACAUUAACUUAUCACUCAAGAC